This 453-nucleotide long non-coding RNA is filed under the name Ananas comosus (pineapple). RNAcentral's name for it is "long non-coding RNA (ACOM_LNC043546)". Lineage: Eukaryota; Viridiplantae; Streptophyta; Magnoliopsida; Poales; Bromeliaceae. The record is from RNAcentral.
CCUUACUUAACGAAAGAAAUUUAAUCUUCCAGUUUCAACCCCGUUUGGUCACCGAAAGCUGUACCGAACUGUAAUCUUUAUCAGAUAACUGUCGAAUUUUAUUUUUCACCUUCCGGGUGUCAGAAUGACAUGAAACCUUAAAUCUAGCCUCAUAAAAAUAAUUCUGACAUAUUCCCAGAUUUUCAGAAUUUUCUGACACUGUGCAUUUUCAGCUAAAAUAACAGCCUCGAUUCACACAGAAAAUUCUCAAUCUUCUAUUUUCACUCCGAUUUCCGCACGAGUCAAUCCUGACGUAAAAUUUACUUAUCUAAAUUCAAUAAAAAUAGUAUCUCACACUAUUUUUAUUUAUAUUCACUUUUAUUAAAAAAAAAUCCGGUAUGCUACAACGGAGGUUCGAGUCCUCCGUUAUUAAAGAAUUUUGGUUGUGAGUCAUUAGGGUUAACAUGGUUAACU